GGAUCAAUGAUGACUUCCAUAUAUACAUUCCUUGGAAAGCUAUACCGUCAUCCUCGUCGAACUGAGGUCC
Molecule: small nucleolar RNA, 70 nt
Organism: Callithrix jacchus (white-tufted-ear marmoset)
Lineage: Eukaryota; Metazoa; Chordata; Mammalia; Primates; Cebidae
Gene: SNORD116
Rfam family: Small nucleolar RNA SNORD116
About the family: HBII-85 is a member of the C/D class of snoRNAs, which contain the C (UGAUGA) and D (CUGA) box motifs. HBII-85 is encoded in a tandemly repeated array with another C/D snoRNA, HBII-52, in the Prader-Willi syndrome (PWS) region of chromosome 15.
Source: Ensembl